RNAcentral lists this long non-coding RNA (1227 nucleotides) under Ananas comosus (pineapple). Its description in RNAcentral is "long non-coding RNA (ACOM_LNC010649)". Lineage: Eukaryota; Viridiplantae; Streptophyta; Magnoliopsida; Poales; Bromeliaceae. The record is from RNAcentral.
AUGGAUGUACCACCUUAAUUUUAGGGUGGUGAGACCCAUUAUUAUUUUUAAGGGGCAAUUGCCUAUAUAUCCCUGAAAAGUUUCCGAUUUUCUUAUUUACCCCUCUUAGAAGGCUAAUAUUGAAAAUACCCUUCUUAUUUUCCAAGUUUUUUUAAAAUGCCCCUGGAGUUAAGUUCCGUUAGUGAGCUGCUGUUAUUUCUGAAAAAUUAUCAUUUUGCCCAUUCCAAUAUACCCUUGUAUCGUAACAAACUUUUCUUAUAUACCCUUCAUAUAGCAAAUACUUUUCUUAUUUGCCCUUCAGUCUAAUCCGGAGCGGAGGGCGUGUAGGGGUCCGAUGGCGUUGCGGCCCUCUUGCUCCCGGCGCUGGCCAAGGUAGCGGAGGAGGAGGAUGACGACGAGAGCGGCGAGAAAUGGGAUUGUUGCUGCGGCCCUCUUGCUCCCGGCGCCGGCCGAGACGGCGGAGGAGGAAGAUGACGGCGACGAGAGCGGCGGUGGAGGAGGACGACGAGAGCGACGAGAGGGGUAGUGUUGGAGGUGGAGGUGUGGGAGGUGGUGGUGGUCUAGGAGGAGAUGAGGCGAGGUGGAAGCGGAGGAGCCGGCCGGUGGUGGCGGAGGAGCCGACCGGUGGUGGCGACCAAGUUGGGAAAAAAAAGAGAGGAUAAUCUUAGGGAUUAGUAUAAUAAGGUAGGGGCAAAAUAGGUAUUUUGUUUAGGUUUUAACUCUAGCAUACAUUUAACUCAUGUUUAACCCGAGUUAAACUAACAGGGGAUAACUGCGGGGGUAUUUUGGAAUAACGGCGGAACAUACGAGGGGUAUUUUAGAAAGAAAAAAAAAGUAGAGGUAGAUCGGAUAUUUCCGAACGCAUGAAGGGUAUAUAGGCAAUUAUCCCUAUUUUUAAUUUGUUUACUCUCUUUUAUUUUAGUAAAACUAUUUUCGCUCUCACAAGUCACAACCAUCUUUUUCAACCUUCUUUUUCUCUCCUUUUUUUCUUCCCAUCUCUUAUUUUUUUUAAUUUCCUGAACCAACAAAGGUGUCUUUUCUUCUCCCCUUACCUCACUUACAGAGCGGUUAUAAAUCUCUCAACGUAUGAUUUUAGAUUUUUUUUUCUCUCCCCUUUUUUGUCGCUCACCGCUCGGAGCCCUCCGACCCUCAUUCACUGCUCCUCAUGCGCCCUUGACAAAGACGACUCGCGGUGCCAUCACUAGUUGCGCUAUUCUCAACAAUUAU